Molecule: long non-coding RNA, 1959 nt
Organism: Hemicordylus capensis (graceful crag lizard)
Lineage: Eukaryota; Metazoa; Chordata; Lepidosauria; Squamata; Cordylidae
Exons: 4
Source: RefSeq, a predicted model, not a curated record
AGAUAUUGAACAAUACAUGAUGUGAUAAUCUGGUUAUUCUGUCCCAGAACUAAAUCAGUGUUUCAGCAUGCAGCAAGAUAAAAUAUCUUGUAUUUGUGCUGAACUAUACUCCAGUUACAGCAGAGUCUAUCGUAGAGGUGCCCAGCAACCCCUCUUGUAGGCCUGAAUGGGAUCACUUUCAGUUUUUUACUUCUGAGGAUGUGGACAAACUGCUUCGGACUGUCCGCCCCACCACCUGCUCUCUUGAUCCUUGCCCAACUUGGCUUAUUUCAUCUGGCAGUCAUAUUAUCAGUAGAGGGUCUGGAAACGGCAUGACCCCCCCUAAGUGCCUGCCUGGAGGAGAUAUUGGGCUGGAUGAAGGAUAACAGGCUGAAGUUUAAUCCAAACAAGAUGGAGGAGGACCCUGAAGACAUACCUAUUUUCCCAGGCUUUUAACUGAAAUCAAAUUUUAAAAUUUUAAUGUGUUCUAUCUAUUGUGAUUUUUAUCUGUUUUAUGAAUUUUGAAUGUUUUAUAUUAUGUUUUAAUCUGUACACUGCCUAGAGAUUUCUAUAUUAGGUGGUAUAGAAAUUCAAUAAAUAAAUAAAUAAACACACAAACAAAACAGCAAUCCAGCAGGGGAAGCUUUUCCAUCAUUGCAUCUGUCAUCUUGGGAAAGCUUCUUUGGCUGAAUUUCAGGUUGUCACGCAUGCUCUUAAAAGCACAGGAGUCCUGCCAGAAAAGAAAUGACAAUCCGAAUUGAAUGAUGAUGAGCAUUUACAAGCGAAUUCACCCUAUGACUCAUACAUAUCCCUUCUAUUCAGGACGUGCCUAGAUGGUUGUAAUGUUGGGUGUUUGUAUGUUAGUGUAGUGCAUUUCCAGUCCCUAAAAGGCGUUCCAUCUUGGUCUCCAUCAGGCCACACAGCUGAGUCUGUAGUUUAUAUAAAAGGAGGUCAGAGCAGAGUAUGUUAAUUAGAUUAGAGAUAUGGCCAAAAAUUCAAGUCUGUCCCCACCACCAAGCCUGUCAAAGAAAAUGCAAUAAGAAAAUAUCUUUGAGUUGUUUGUCCACUGCAAUUCCACCACCCCACCACCACCCAGAAUGGAUAUGCUAAUCAGAUAUUAUUUGGGCAAAGAGUUCUCCCAUGCUACAUAGUACUGUCUCAGUGGUGGCCCAAGACCUUGGCAUGCCUGAGACAGGGCACCAAAUGCCUCCCCACCUUUAUUUUUGUUCGUGGCAGCAGCAAGAGCUGCCACCACUUCAUUAAACAUGCACACAGAAACUCACACACAAACACCUGCUUCUGUCUCCUCCUAACCAGGCGCACAUCCUCCUACCUCCCUUGUGCUGGGCUCAUAACGAAAAGGAGGAGAAAAUGGAAGAAGAAAUGAUGAAAGGCAAUAUUCAUUUCCCCUGCUGCACCUUUCCCCUUUUCAUCACUAGCCCAGCAUGAGGUAGGUAGGAGGGUGUGCACUUGGCUAAAAAGAGGUGGUAGAGGACUGUCUCUGGGUGGCUCCUUGCUGAAUGGUAGCUGGUCUGACUCCUUGCUCCCAUGAUGGUGAGUGACAGGUGACAGAGGGAAACAGGCAGGGUAGUCUAAGAGAUUAUGAUGCCUGAGGUGAGGCACUAAAUGCUUUCUUGCAUGGGGGGCAGGAAAGAGGGAAGGUUACCAGCAGCCUCUUCUUGCAAGUGUUGCAAGGAGUGUUGAGGAGAGGAGGGCAGCCUCCCCCACCCCACGCACCUUGCAAAGCUUGUAAGGGUCAUCUCAGCUUGGUCCCAAAGCACUAUUCCUAUGGUGGCAGUGGUGGGACACUUGCCAUCCUGGUGGUGCCCCAAUAAUCCACUAUCUGAGAUGUCCAUUUCACCUCGCCUCAUGAAAGGACUGCCCAUGGAAGCAGGUGAGGUGGUGGGCAUAUUUCUGGUGCCCCCAAAUCCAUUGCUUGAGGUGAGUACCUCCCGUUGCUUUAUGUGAGCACCCUGUAUG